AGCUCCAAUAGCGUAUAUUAAAGUUGUUGCGGUUAAAAAGCUCGUAGUUGGAUCUGCGUCCAUCAAGACCGGUAGCCCAUUGGGUUUCACUGGUUCUUGUGGACUCCUUACUAGUUUUUCCAUGGUGCUCUUAACUGAGUGCCUUGGUAGACUAGUGCUUUUACUUUGAAAAAAUUAGAGUGCUCAAAGCAGGCGUUUGCCUGAAUAGUGGUGCAUGGAAUAAUGGAAUAGGACCUCGGUUCUAUUUUGUUGGUUUUCGGAGCUCGAGGUAAUGAUUAAGAGGGACAGACGGGGGCAUUCGUACUGCUGCGUUAGAGGUGAAAUUCUUGGAUCGCAGCAUGACGAACAACUGCGAAAGCAUUUGCCAAGAAUGUUUUCA
RNAcentral lists this ribosomal RNA (379 nucleotides) under uncultured eukaryote. RNAcentral describes it as "SSU rRNA". It matches the Rfam family "Eukaryotic small subunit ribosomal RNA", at positions 587 to 972 of the family's 1831-position model. The record is from RNAcentral.